AAUGUCCCGCAAGGGACUAGUAGAGUGGCAAACGGGUGAGUAACACGUGGGUGACCUGCCUUCGAGUGGGGGAUAACGUCCCGAAAGGGACGCUAAUACCGCAUGACAUCCUGCCCUUGAACGGGUGGAGAUCAAAGCCGGGGAUCGCAAGACCUGGCGCUUGGAGAGGGGCCCGCGUCCGAUUAGCUAGUUGGUGAGGUAACGGCUCACCAAGGCGACGAUCGGUAUCCGGCCUGAGAGGGCGGACGGACACACUGGGACUGAGACACGGCCCAGACUCCUACGGGAGGCAGCAGUGGGGAAUUGUUCGCAAUGGGCGCAAGCCUGACGACGCAACGCCGCGUGGAGGAUGAAGAUCUUCGGGUCGUAAACUCCUUUCGAUUGAGACGAACGGCUCCCGUGCUAAUCAGCGGGAGAAUGACGGUACCGAGAGAAGAAGCCCCGGCUAACUCCGUGCCAGCAGCCGCGGUAAUACGGGGGGGGCAAGCGUUGUUCGGAAUUACUGGGCGUAAAGGGCUCGUAGGCGGCCAACUAAGUCAGACGUGAAAUCCCUCGGCUUAACCGGGGAACUGCGUCUGAUACUGGAUGGCUUGAGGUUGGGAGAGGGAUGCGGAAUUCCAGGUGUAGCGGUGAAAUGCGUAGAUAUCUGGAGGAACACCGGUGGCGAAGGCGGCAUCCUGGACCAAUUCUGACGCUGAGGAGCGAAAGCCAGGGGAGCAAACGGGAUUAGAUACCCCGGUAGUCCUGGCCCUAAACGAUGAAUGCUUGGUGUGGCGGGUAUCGAUCCCUGCCGUGCC
RNAcentral lists this ribosomal RNA (797 nucleotides) under uncultured Bacillota bacterium. RNAcentral describes it as "bacterial SSU rRNA". It matches the Rfam family "Bacterial small subunit ribosomal RNA", at positions 71 to 847 of the family's 1533-position model. Lineage: Bacteria; Bacillati; Bacillota. The record is from RNAcentral.